This is a long non-coding RNA of Hippocampus comes (tiger tail seahorse), 1743 nucleotides long. RefSeq lists it as uncharacterized. The transcript has 3 exons. Lineage: Eukaryota; Metazoa; Chordata; Actinopteri; Syngnathiformes; Syngnathidae. The record is from RefSeq and is a predicted model, not a curated record.
UAUAUAGAUAGAUAGAUACUAUUAUGUUUGACAAACAUAAUGUCGAAGAAAUACGGCCACACGCUGAAGCGGCAGCACUUUUUACCGCUGCAGCUGAAGGUGCUGCUUAAAUUGCCUCAAAUCGGCAGCUGUCGCAGCACCCACUUGCCUCGAGAUUGGCAGCUGCUGCAGCCCUACUUCCAGCAUCUCCCACCUCAACCAGAAGUACGACGAUGACCUGCCACUGCAAACGAAUGUGCUAGCACUUCCUGUCAUUCUGAACGGUAUGACUCAUAAUUUUUCCUGCAUGCACACAUUCAUAGAUUUGUUACACGCUUGUUCUCCUGUCUCUCACCCAAAAAGUUGUCAAAACGUACGCCUUUUCACCAUAGCAUGUGACAGAAAAAAAAUCUGUAAAUAUUUGCCAACAUUAUCCCUUUCCUUUGAAAUAAAAAAAGCGUAUCCUUAAAAUAAAGAAGUAACUACACCUAAUAAUUAUGCAUUUAUGGUUCCAAGCAGAAGAGCAUAUGUAGUGUAAAUGUUUUCUGGAGAAUAACAUCCUAAAUGUUUUAAUAUUUCAGGCAGGACACUUCCUCAUAAUCACUGAAAGGAAAAAAGGCGAGGUUUGGACUCUGGUUUCGUUUCUCGUCUAAAUAGCUCCUUGAAAUUUUAGAAAUGGCAUGUCCCAUCUGCUGCUUCUGACAUGUAUGUUUCUAUUUUCAUAGGGGUGGUGAGCAUUUCUCUGAAGGUUCAGGAGAUGGACAUCAGCUCAGAGGAGACCAAGCUCCAGCAGUUAGAACCAAGAUGUGUCCUUGAGCCCAUUUUGUUUGGAAAUAGGCCUCCCAGCCUAUGAUGAAAUGUGGAAUGCUGGCAGAGGACGACUUCUUGGGAACCAAUAUCGUACCGUCUGGAAGCAAGUUAUACAAAGAUCUGUCAACUUUUCAAAAUUAUAGAAAUGGGCAAUCAACAUAUUCCAGAAUAUAGAACAAAUACUGUGUGGAGUUCUUGAAUGAUAGCAGAGAUGCAAUCAUCACCGAGCUUCAGCCCAAUGGACUUUGGAGAUGAUCUGAUGGACAGUCCUGGAUUCUGUGCUCUGUGCUGUACCUACGCUGUCAUGGAAAAUAACUUGCCCAAAAAUAUUAGAUAUGUUCAACAUGGACAAUUCUAAGACAUCCUGAAAUUAUGUUAUAAUGCUGAAAUAUUUGUAUGCAUUCUGAUUUCUAAGGACAGUUUUGUCAAAAUUAGAUUUUGGGUUGUUUGUGAAUUUAAAUGAUUAUCUACACUAAAUGUGAGCUCCUUGUUGAAGGACAGCCACAAGAUUGGACUGACACAUGAGACUAAACCACUCAUAAAUCCUGCAAAUAAAAUGUUUAAUUAAAUACGUUAAAUUUGUUUCAUAUGUCUUCUUUCAAAAAUAUACAAUCUAUGAACAAGUGUUGUAGGGCACUGGACAGAUGUAAAAAAAUGUCACUCUUUGAUUAUUUCUGAGUUGUAACGGGAAAUGAGAAGGCACUGCUCAUUUACUUUACAAUUGAACAGUAAUGACAUUUUAAAAGUAACAUGCAAGCACUCUGCAUUGUCAACUGCGCAGUCAAUCAAAAAACCUUGAGUUGUGUAUGACAAAUUUUGUACUCGGCUGCGAUGUCUUUUUCGGACUUGAGCAAAAAAUAUUGCAGCACGGCUGACAUCAGUCUUGCUUCUUGCUACUUCGUGAAGAAAUGGUUCAGAUGUAAAUCUCUCCCAUCCAAAUAGUUCUGAGUUUGC